CUCAAAUACACACACUCGAAAUGUUUUAUUUUUCAGAACUUUCAAUUUCUUGAGAGGAGAAAAUUAUGGAGAAUAAAAUGUUUUAUUUUGCAAGCAAUGGGAGAUUUUUUCUUAUGAUACUACUACUAAGCAGUAUCGCUGCGGUUGCAAACGGACUCACUCACCUGUUGAUGAUGAUACUGAAUUGUGGUGACUCGAUAGACGCUUUAAGCACCACAGAUCCAGAAAACAUGGUUAAAGAAGUUUUAAAGGUUGGGAUAUUCAUACAAGUAACAGCAACUUUCUUUGGAGGAUUCAUGUUUGCCUUUAUAAGAGGUCUGCAAUUAGCGUUUGUUCUUCUCAGUUGCAUCAACUUCUCGGUUGAUGUUUAAGUAAUUGAAAUUAACGUUGGUUCUUUGAGGUUUUCCAAGCUUGUAUAGUAGAAAAAAGAUCUAGCUAAACUGGAAGAAGUUAAAACACAACGUCCGUUACAACUAUCAUUCUCACUCACUCAUGUGAGCAGAAAGAGUAGCAUGAUAUUUUCUUCAAGGUCUUUACCAACCUUUCAUCGUUCCCUUCUUUGCAAUAACGCUGUUUUGCAAAACCGUGAUAGUGCUGAGCCGAUGAGCCUCUAAUGAAAUUAUAGACUCAUCGGC
Molecule: RNA transcript, 635 nt
Organism: Arabidopsis thaliana (thale cress)
Lineage: Eukaryota; Viridiplantae; Streptophyta; Magnoliopsida; Brassicales; Brassicaceae
Exons: 2
Source: RefSeq